Molecule: long non-coding RNA, 303 nt
Organism: Saccostrea echinata
Lineage: Eukaryota; Metazoa; Mollusca; Bivalvia; Ostreida; Ostreidae
Exons: 3
Source: RefSeq, a predicted model, not a curated record
UGUAAUAUUUGAAGAUUUUUAUUAGGGAUGGCCACAUGCAGUAAACUGACAAAUUGAUCAGAAAGAUCAUACUGGGUACAAAUUCCAUAUAAAGCAGUCAACAUUUUUAGAAACUUUUGUGAUGAACUUACUUAAAAAUUGUGCAUUUUUUUAAAUGUAGGGUUCUGAUGAUGAUUGUAUACUCCCGAAAAUGGAAUUAUCAAGAUCAACCCAAAAGGAAAAGAGAAAACGAGACAUGAAAGCAUCCACAGAAUGUUAUGAUUUGGAGCCAUCAACAUCAAAGGAAUUAGAUGGGAAAGGGUC